This is a long non-coding RNA of Oncorhynchus tshawytscha (Chinook salmon), 744 nucleotides long. NCBI's taxonomy places the organism in Eukaryota, Metazoa, Chordata, Actinopteri, Salmoniformes, Salmonidae. The record is from Ensembl.
CUGUUGUCUUCAAGUUUGAAGCGAUUUUUAAACCAACACAUUUUAAUACUGUAUUGCAUGUUUUAUCUAUUUCUCUAACCCUUUUGUAUGCGAAUUUCCAUCGUCAAUAAACCAUCAUAAAUGACGUUUUUUUCCCAGUGACAUCGCGUAAAAAUGUUACAGGAUCUGUAAUCAUUAGGGAGAAAUAGGAUUGGCCAGAGGCAAAUGAUACAACAGGAUAAAUAAAUGUGCUCAGAAAUGUACGACGUUGUGCGCAAUAAGGAACGUGUCACCAUAGAAAUAGAAUCUACAUUAGAAUUCCGUGCUCGUCACAAUGUCCAAUUAACAUACAUUUGAAUUCCUAAUUCUAUGUGUAUUACUCAGAGGUGAAGUUAUUCACAAUCACAACCAACCUACAGAAUAUCAAUAGCAAACGCGAAUUCUUCAUUCAAGUCAAUCAAAAGUCGUAUAUGUUUUCCUGUUCUCAGUAAGAAAAUGCUCAAGAGGCAAUUCCGUACACUGAAAGCCCAGGGAAGACUCCCGCUAGACCUCCCUCUGAGACCAAUGAAGGCCUGGCUCCUGGCAGGGAAAAGAGUCUUCUUGGAGCGUGAGACAGAGACAUGGAAGAGAUGGAGGAAGGUCUGUGUAGCUGAAUUGACUUGGGAUGCAAAGAGGGGCCUGGAAUUACAGGAGACAGAGAGAGUUCUCCUGGUCAGUUGCCAGAGAGUUCAGGAUGAAUUAAGGAUUUCUGAUUUCACCGUGGAC